RNAcentral lists this transfer RNA (86 nucleotides) under Phycisphaerae bacterium. Its description in RNAcentral is "tRNA-Leu". It matches the Rfam family "tRNA". From Rfam's summary of the family: Transfer RNA (tRNA) molecules are approximately 80 nucleotides in length. Their secondary structure includes four short double-helical elements and three loops (D, anti-codon, and T loops). Lineage: Bacteria; Pseudomonadati; Planctomycetota; Phycisphaerae. RNAcentral also lists the same sequence under 1 other name. The record is from RNAcentral.
GCCGGUGUGGCGGAAUUGGCAGACGCGAUGGACUCAAAAUCCAUUGCCCCUCGCGGGGCGUGAAGGUUCGAUUCCUUUCACCGGCA